AAAUAAAUGUGUGAGAAAAAUAAAAAACAAGAAGUGUUAGCGCACAAAAACAAAUAUACCAUGCUUUAUUAAAACUAAAUGCGGUAAUCGGGUAAAGAGUUUUUAUUUUUCUAGACUUUCGAAGGAACAAAUUCAGAUUAAAAAGAUCGGCACCUGAAUGGAACCUUUCUAGCAGCUAAACAUGCUAAAGCGAGUAAUGGAGAGGCAAUUCCGUUGCUGGCACUGGUGUUUAGGCGACUAACAAUUGCUGGUGCCUAAAUGUAUGCUACACUCUCAACCAAAAACCCAAAAACUCUUGCGGAACUUUAUCAAUGGCAAAUGCUGAAGAGGCUCCGCAGGACUUGCAACCAUGCAGAGGUGAAUUUGGCCCGCAUCUUCUGCAACAUCUAAUACUCAUCAGCUAGUGCCAAAUUUAUUUAACACUUUGGGUCAGAUAUUUAUCGGCUGUUGUCUGCCACAAUUCUUCGACCUCGUUAAAUUUAUUACGCCACAAAUCCACAAUCAUCUUCCAACCUUCUUCUUGCGUUACCAAUACAUAUUCGUUAGAUUGGUCCAG
Molecule: long non-coding RNA, 556 nt
Organism: Rhagoletis pomonella (apple maggot)
Lineage: Eukaryota; Metazoa; Arthropoda; Insecta; Diptera; Tephritidae
Exons: 2
Source: RefSeq, a predicted model, not a curated record